This 485-nucleotide ribosomal RNA is filed under the name uncultured bacterium. RNAcentral's name for it is "bacterial SSU rRNA". It matches the Rfam family "Bacterial small subunit ribosomal RNA", at positions 28 to 523 of the family's 1533-position model. The record is from RNAcentral.
GACGAACGCUGGCGGCGUGCUUAACACAUGCAAGUCGAGCGGAAAGGCCCUUUCGGGGGUACUCGAGCGGCGAACGGGUGAGUAACACGUGAGUAAUCUGCCCUUGGCUUUGGGAUAACUACCGGAAACGGUGGCUAAUACCGGAUAUGACCAUGCUCGGCAUCGGGUGUGGUGGAAAGUUUUUUCGGCCAGGGAUGUGCUCGCGGCCUAUCAGCUUGUUGGUGGGUAAUGGCCUACCAAGGCUUCGACGGGUAGCCGGCCUGAGAGGGUGACCGGCCACACUGGGACUGAGACACGGCCCAGACUCCUACGGGAGGCAGCAGUGGGAAUAUUGGACAAUGGGCGGAAGCCUGAUCCAGCAACGCCGCGUGAGGGAUGACGGCCUUGGUGUAAACCUCUUUCAGUACCGACGAAGCGCCGAUGAUGGUGGUGACGGUAGGUACGAGAAGAAGCACCGGCCAACUACGUGCCAGCAGCCGCGGUAA